CAUCCUCUAUCGAUGGCCGCUUCCUCUGAUCUUCACAAAGACAGUUAAUGGCAAACUCGACUGUGGUCCUCAGUGACUCAUACGCAUACGUUCCCCUCACGCUCGGAUCUGCUAAGCUACGCAACACCGAUGGUUCCUCUCUCAAACCAUUCUCCAGCUGAAGCUUCAAGCUUCCCAACUCUGAGGAUGCAGCCGCCAUUACUUUGCCCGUGAUGAUCUGAAGUAGGAUCACUCCAAACUGGUGUUACCAGUGAGGUAGUCCCUCAGUGACCCGUUAGAGAUGUAUUCUUGGACUAUGAAAAUAGUGCUCCCGGCGUAUGGAUGAUGAUCUUGCUUAAUACACCUCACCGUCACUGGAAUGCCUUCUCUAAGAUAACCUUUGUACAGCUGUUUUUAAAUUACAUAAUUAGAGACUCAAAACCGACUUGUGAUCAUGUUUUGUUGGCUUUUUCAUUUUACCUGUUCUCCACAGAGACUUGCUGCAUCAAAGUUGUUGGUGGCUUCUUCCAGGUCCUCCAAAGAGAAAACACGGUAGGGUGAUAGUCCAAUCACAGCAGAUCUCAUGGUUUGUGGUAUGCGUCCUGCAUUUGAAGUGAUACUUAGGUUAAAUGGGUUUUGAAAACUUGAUUCAAGAUUUUAAUGUAAUAGCUUUUUUUAUUACUUGGAUCUGGUACUGUUUUUGAUGUAGUGGACCUUGUGGCUGUGCUACAAACAGAGACCUUAUCGACGUUGCUUGCUUCUAAAGGUACUUCUUUUGAUCUUGA
Long non-coding RNA from Brassica rapa (field mustard), 764 nucleotides. RefSeq lists it as uncharacterized. The record is from RefSeq and is a predicted model, not a curated record. Lineage: Eukaryota; Viridiplantae; Streptophyta; Magnoliopsida; Brassicales; Brassicaceae.